RNAcentral lists this ribosomal RNA (608 nucleotides) under Palythoa aff. heliodiscus JDR-2017. RNAcentral's name for it is "eukaryotic LSU rRNA". The stretch from base 263 to 394 matches the Rfam family "5.8S ribosomal RNA". Lineage: Eukaryota; Metazoa; Cnidaria; Anthozoa; Zoantharia; Sphenopidae. The record is from RNAcentral.
CCGCGAACCCGACCUAUUCUUUGGGGUAGGCCCCGUGCGGCCUUUAAAUGGUACCUGGGACGUGGUCGCUUCGGCGAACCCCGGCGGAUGCGGCAGGCCCCCGGCAAGGGGGGGUCCGCCGCUUCGCUCGGGGGGUCGAUUCUUUCCUUGCAGAGGGUCGACCGCGUCGUCGCUUCGGCUGCCCCCCCCGGUCCGGCCCCGUUUGUUUUUUUUGCUAACGUGUUUGCAGACUGAAACGGUGAGUGAACGAAAAAAGAGAGACAACUCUCAACGGUGGAUCUCUUGGCUCGUGCAUCGAUGAAGAACGCGAAAUGCAGAAUUCAGUGAAUCAUCGAAUCUUUGAACGCAAAUGGCGCUCUCGGGUCUUCCCGGGAGCAUGUCUGUCCGAGUGUCGGCAUCCAUCGAAUCGCGCGUUCCGACGCGCGGCGUCGAGGUGUUGCGGCCGACUUGCGAGGCCGCGUCCCUUCAGAUGCAGAGCGACCCGGUCAGCGGCGCGAGCGCGGCGACUCCGGAGGCCUAAGAAGGAAUGGACGGUCAGCCCCGGAGACGACCCCGCCGCGCCCCGGUCGGGCAGAGGAAACCCGGGGAACGACGCUCUCGCGACCUCG